Molecule: long non-coding RNA, 509 nt
Filed under: Taeniopygia guttata (zebra finch)
Lineage: Eukaryota; Metazoa; Chordata; Aves; Passeriformes; Estrildidae
Description: lncRNA (ENSTGUG00000022187.1)
Source: RNAcentral
AGAAUAUCAACUAUAUCAGAAUAUCCUAUACCAAAAUAUAGAAGGUGAAAAGGCUGGUAAUGUAGGCUUACUACAGACUCCUGUAGUUUAGGAAGAGUCUGGAGCCUGUGGAAAAAAAGGAAAGACAGCAUAGCUGUUGAGUCAUAGUGUACCUUAAAGAAGAAUUGCCAUUGAGUGGGGUACCCUGAUGUCUGGAAGGGCAUAACCAGAAUUUCCUGCCUGACUCCUGCAUCCCUCCCACCCCAGAUCACUGAGCAUUCCCUGCACACAGUGCAUUCAUUGCAAACCAACUUCAGACCUAUGGCACAGAGGAUAAAACCUGCAACAACUUUGAGAUAACUAUUUGGAUAGCCACAAGACUAAGAGCAGGAUCAGGCAGAUGCAUUUGGCUGUUGAGCAGGGCAGUCUCUAAACAGUGGAAAAGAGGAGGGGAUGACUCACUGCUGCAGCAAGCUGAGGAUGCUUCUGCUCACUGCCUCCAGACUAAUUAAUUUAUCAUGAAAGUGGAG